GCUUGCUGGGGUCGGGACUGCGCGACGGCGCAGGGGCUGCGGGGAGCGCCGCGCAGGCCGUGCAGUUCCUAGCGAGGAGGCGCCGCCGCCAUUGCCGCUCUCUCGGUGAGCGCAGCCCCGCUCUCCGGGCCGGGCCUUCGCGGGCCACCGGCGCCAUGGGCCAGUGCGGCAUCACCUCCUCCAAGACCGUGCUGGUCUUUCUCAACCUCAUCUUCUGGGGGGCAGCUGGCAUUUUAUGCUAUGUGGGAGCCUAUGUCUUCAUCACUUAUGAUGACUAUGACCACUUCUUUGAAGAUGUGUACACGCUCAUCCCUGCUGUAGUGAUCAUAGCUGUAGGAGCCCUGCUUUUCAUCAUUGGGCUAAUUGGCUGCUGUGCCACAAUCCGGGAAAGUCGCUGUGGACUUGCCACGGUAAGAUGUGUUGUGAGAACACGCAGGAGUAUUUAGUCUACGCUACUCUCCUUGAACAUGAGACUCCUUGGCUCUUGUAGUUGGAACAGAGUUAACAUUUAAACUUCUAGCAAUUAUCUCUGAUAACUUUUUUUAAAUCAAGAGUGUAUUUAAAGUUAUUUUUUCAUUUGUAUAUAAUUUUAAACAAUGUUUUCUUACAGUUUGUCAUCAUCCUGCUCUUGGUUUUUG
Molecule: small RNA, 638 nt
Filed under: Pan troglodytes (chimpanzee)
Lineage: Eukaryota; Metazoa; Chordata; Mammalia; Primates; Hominidae
Description: retained intron
Source: RNAcentral